Long non-coding RNA from Mustela erminea (ermine), 539 nucleotides. RefSeq lists it as uncharacterized. The record is from RefSeq and is a predicted model, not a curated record. The transcript is spliced from 5 exons. NCBI's taxonomy places the organism in Eukaryota, Metazoa, Chordata, Mammalia, Carnivora, Mustelidae.
UUAAUACUGACAUUGCUCUCUCAGCCCAGUCAGGUGUUCCAUAUUUGUGACAUCAGACAAUGCCCCUAGAAUGGCUACUACAGUGGUGCAUUCACUAUGUAGCUGAGAACACCCUCUCAAACUCAGUAGGUAAAAUUUUCUUGUCAAAAGUAUUAGAAACAGUUCUCAAGACUACCAUGUGCAAGGUGGAGAUCAGCACUGGGAGAAGAAAACACUUUUAGCAAGACAAGGUUUUCCUAUCGAGAGCUCUCUUGUCCAACAGAGAACAGCAUUUCCUAAGCUGUCCGGAUUACUCUGUAUGGAGGCAGCUUCUCCUAAUUUUGGAGCUACCACAUCGCUAGCUGUUGGAUGACAGCUCACAGCCCCAGAGGUCAUCAACCCACCAAGAAAGAAGGUUCCUGAAACAGUGAUGAUACUGUGAAUUCUGAUCCAUUGGAGGACAAUCUCUUGAGAAAACAGGCUGCACUAAAACAUAAACACACCAUUGAAGAAAUCAGACUACGAAUGUCAGCGUUCAUUUGAUGUUUCUGGAAGUCAAG